AGAGUUUGAUCAUGGCUCAGAACGAACGCUGGCGGCAUGCUUAACACAUGCAAGUCGAACGAAGGCUUCGGCCUUAGUGGCGCACGGGUGAGUAACGCGUGGGAACCUGCCCAUUGGUUCGGAAUAACGUCGGGAAACUGACGCUAAUACCGGAUACGUCCUACGGGAGAAAGAUUUAUCGCCGAUGGAGGGGCCCGCGU
This 200-nucleotide ribosomal RNA is filed under the name uncultured bacterium. RNAcentral describes it as "partial 16S ribosomal RNA". It matches the Rfam family "Bacterial small subunit ribosomal RNA", at positions 8 to 236 of the family's 1533-position model. The record is from RNAcentral.